Ribosomal RNA from Lupinus angustifolius (narrow-leaved blue lupine), 118 nucleotides. Lineage: Eukaryota; Viridiplantae; Streptophyta; Magnoliopsida; Fabales; Fabaceae. The record is from Rfam.
AGGUGCGAUCAUACCAGCACUAAUGCACCUGAUCCCAUCAGAACUCCGUAGUAAAGCGCGCUUGGGCGAGAGUAGUACUAGGAUGGGUGACCUCCUGGGAAGUCCUCGUUUGCACCUC